RNAcentral lists this small nuclear RNA (255 nucleotides) under Octodon degus (degu). Its description in RNAcentral is "7SK RNA (ENSODEG00000024132.1)". It matches the Rfam family "7SK RNA", at positions 1 to 280 of the family's 331-position model. Rfam says of the family: 7SK was discovered as an abundant small nuclear RNA in the mid-70s but a possible function has only recently been suggested. Two independent studies have found that 7SK RNA binds the CDK9/cyclin T complex (known as elongation factor P-TEFb). P-TEFb activates transcription by phosphorylating the C-terminal domain of RNA polymerase II. The record is from Rfam by way of RNAcentral. Lineage: Eukaryota; Metazoa; Chordata; Mammalia; Rodentia; Octodontidae.
GGAUGCGAGGCUGGUCUGGCCACAGCAUCUGUUAGCCCACUGAUCGCCAAGGCUGAGUCAGCCGACCUAGCUGGCUGGGCAGCUGUCAUCGCUCCUUCCUGACUACUUCAUGUGUGUUCUCCCUGAGCUACGUGCUCAGACACAGAUGGAGGAGGGCUGUCCUUCCAUCAGUGGUACAGAGGAGAGGCCCUGCUAGAACUGUCUGAGCUAAAUUAUUCUUUUUUUUGGCGGAACUGGGGAUUGAACUCAGGCCCU